GACGAACGCUGGCGGCGUGCUUAACACAUGCAAGUUGAACGGAAAGGCCCUGCUUUUGUGGGGUGCUCGAGUGGCGAACGGGUGAGUAACACGUGAGUAACCUGCCCUUGACUUUGGGAUAACUUCAGGAAACUGGGGCUAAUACCGGAUAGGAGCUCCUGCUGCAUGGUGGGGGUUGGAAAGUUUCGGCGGUUGGGGAUGGACUCGCGGCUUAUCAGCUUGUUGGUGGGGUAGUGGCUUACCAAGGCUUUGACGGGUAGCCGGCCUGAGAGGGUGACCGGCCACAUUGGGUCUGAGAUACGGCCCAGACUCCUACGGGAGGCAGCAGUGGGGAAUAUUGCACAAUGGGCGGAAGCCUGAUGCAGCAACGCCGCGUGCGGGAUGACGGCCUUCGGGUUGUAAACCGCUUUCGCCUGUGACGAAGCGUGAGUGACGGUAAUGGGUAAAGAAGCACCGGCUAACUACGUG
This 468-nucleotide ribosomal RNA is filed under the name uncultured bacterium. RNAcentral describes it as "partial 16S ribosomal RNA". It matches the Rfam family "Bacterial small subunit ribosomal RNA", at positions 28 to 507 of the family's 1533-position model. The record is from RNAcentral.